AGCGAACGCUGGCGGCAGGCCUAACACAUGCAAGUCGAACGAACCUUUCGGGGUUAGUGGCGGACGGGUGAGUAACACGUGGGAACGUGCCUUUAGGUUCGGAAUAACUCAGGGAAACUUGUGCUAAUACCGAAUGUGCCCUUCGGGGGAAAGAUUAAUCGCCUUUAGAGCGGCCCGCGUCUGAUUAGCUAGUUGGUUGAGGUAAUGGCUCACCACGGCGACGAUCAGUAGCUGGUCUGAGAGGAUGAUCAGCCACAUUGGGACUGAGACACGGCCCAAACUCCUACGGGAGGGAGCAGUGGGGAAUCUUGCGCAAUGGGCGAAGGCCUGACGCAGCCAUGCCGGGUGAAUGAUGAAGGUCUUAGGAUUGUAAAAUUCUUUCACCGGGGACGAUAAUGACGGUACCCGGAGAAGAAGCCCCGGCUAACUUCGUG
This 434-nucleotide ribosomal RNA is filed under the name uncultured bacterium. Its description in RNAcentral is "partial 16S ribosomal RNA". It matches the Rfam family "Bacterial small subunit ribosomal RNA", at positions 29 to 507 of the family's 1533-position model. The record is from RNAcentral.